AUUGAACGCUGGCGGCAGGCCUAACACAUGCAAGUCGAGCGGAUGAAGGGAGCUUGCUCCUGGAUUCAGCGGCGGACGGGUGAGUAAUGCCUAGGAAUCUGCCUGGUAGUGGGGGAUAACGUCCGGAAACGGGCGGUAAUACCGCAUACGUCCUGAGGGAGAAAGUGGGGGAUCUUCGGACCUCACGCUAUCAGAUGAGCCUAGGUCGGAUUAGCUAGUUGGUGGGGUAAAGGCCUACCAAGGCGACGAUCCGUAACUGGUCUGAGAGGAUGAUCAGUCACACUGGAACUGAGACACGGUCCAGACUCCUACGGGAGGCAGCAGUGGGGAAUAUUGGACGAUGGGCGGAAGCCUGAUCCAGCCAUGCCGCGUGUGUGAAGAAGGUCUUCGGAUUGUAAAGCACUUUAAGUUGGGAGGAAGGGCAGUAAGUUAAUACCUUGCUGUUUUGACGUUACCAACAGAAUAAGCACCGGCUAACUUCGUG
This 484-nucleotide ribosomal RNA is filed under the name uncultured bacterium. RNAcentral's name for it is "partial 16S ribosomal RNA". It matches the Rfam family "Bacterial small subunit ribosomal RNA", at positions 30 to 507 of the family's 1533-position model. The record is from RNAcentral.